Molecule: unclassified non-coding RNA, 253 nt
Filed under: uncultured Bradymonadales bacterium
Lineage: Bacteria; Deltaproteobacteria; Bradymonadales
Description: contains 16S-23S intergenic spacer region
Rfam family: Bacterial small subunit ribosomal RNA
Source: RNAcentral
UACGGAGGGUGCAAGCGUUGUUCGGAAUUAUUGGGCGUACAGAGUGCGCAGGCGGCCUUGCAAGUCUGAUGUGAAACCCCGGGGCUCAACUCCGGAGGCGCAUUGGAAACUGUAGGGCUUGAGUCCGAGAGAGGCCCGUGGAAUUCCCGGUGUAGGGGUGAAAUCCGUAGAGAUCGGGAGGAACACCAGCGGCGAAGGCGACGGGCUGGAUCGGAACUGACGCUGAGGCACGAGAGCGUGGGGAGCGAAGAGG